GGGGUUGUGGCUCAGCGGUAGAGCGCUGACCUCGCAUGUGCGGAGACCCUGGGUUCGAUCCUCAUCACCACA
Molecule: transfer RNA, 72 nt
Filed under: Marmota monax (woodchuck)
Lineage: Eukaryota; Metazoa; Chordata; Mammalia; Rodentia; Sciuridae
Description: tRNA.Ala
Source: RNAcentral